Molecule: long non-coding RNA, 401 nt
Organism: Ruditapes philippinarum (Manila clam)
Lineage: Eukaryota; Metazoa; Mollusca; Bivalvia; Venerida; Veneridae
Exons: 3
Source: RefSeq, a predicted model, not a curated record
AUCUGCUGCAAAUAUUGUCAAGGUUUAUAUAGAAAAGCGAUAUUUAAAUAUCAUUUAUUAUUAAAUAAGAAUAAUAUACCAGUUAUUCAAGCUUUGAUAACUUCAAUAACAAUGGCUAGUAAAUUUACAUUUAUACUUCUCGGAUUACUUGUUAUCACAAGUUUUUGCGAAUUCAAGACUGAUGCGGGUAAUAUAAGAUGCUAUUGUAGCAGGAGCUGUUCAGAAGGGUCAAUAGAAUCCAACUAUUGGUGUUUUCCCUGCUUCCCACCCAAAGAAUGCUGUUGCAUGAAAACCUUACCGAUAGAAAAAUAAGUUCGAAGCAUGCGGUUAUUAAAACUGGACAUCUGAAGAAAGUAUCCAUUUUUUCCAGAAAGUAUUAAUAAAUUGAAGACAAUAAUACA